This is a long non-coding RNA of Penaeus monodon (black tiger shrimp), 292 nucleotides long. RefSeq lists it as uncharacterized. Lineage: Eukaryota; Metazoa; Arthropoda; Malacostraca; Decapoda; Penaeidae. The transcript has 3 exons. The record is from RefSeq and is a predicted model, not a curated record.
CUUGCGUGUAGACAGCAAUUGUUUGCUUCACGUAAUCCUCAAAAAGGGAGAUUACGAAGCCUCAGCGUCUGUACAUAUAUAGAUUUGGGUUUGUGACGAAAACCAGUCUGUCUGUUGUGUCGCUGCCAAGGUAGGUCAGCUGUUGGAAGUGCUGAAAGUGUUCGCACUCUGACUUAAAGAUGAAGGUCGCUGUUCUAUUUUGCUUCACUGCCUCUUUGGCUGUUACAGCUGCUUUACCUGCAGUUGCUCCAGCUGCGCCGAUGGUCCCCUCUCCUGCCAUGAUCAGGCCUUC